This 327-nucleotide ribosomal RNA is filed under the name uncultured eukaryote. Its description in RNAcentral is "partial 18S ribosomal RNA". It matches the Rfam family "Eukaryotic small subunit ribosomal RNA", at positions 1470 to 1796 of the family's 1831-position model. The record is from RNAcentral.
CCCUUAGACGUUCUGGGCCGCACGCGCGCUACACUGACCAGUGCAACAAGCAUCCGUCCUUGGCCGACAGGCCCGGGCAAUCUUUGAACGCUGGUCGUGAUGGGGAUAGACUUUUGCAAUUAUUAAUCUUCAACGAGGAAUGCCUAGUAGGCGCAAGUCAUCAGCUUGCGUCGAUUACGUCCCUGCCCUUUGUACACACCGCCCGUCGCUCCUACCGAUUGGGUGUGCUGGUGAAAUGUUCGGAUCGGCCGUUUGUCGCGGUUUCCGCGUCAUGUGGCUGAGAAGUUCAUUAAACCCUCCCACCUAGAGGAAGGAGAAGUCGUAACA